RNAcentral lists this small RNA (119 nucleotides) under Salmonella enterica subsp. enterica. RNAcentral's name for it is "RtT sRNA". It matches the Rfam family "RtT RNA". Rfam says of the family: This family represents a bacterial cis-regulatory element known as RtT RNA. The exact function of RtT is unknown although it is thought that it may be involved in changing the cellular response in relation to amino acid starvation. Lineage: Bacteria; Pseudomonadati; Pseudomonadota; Gammaproteobacteria; Enterobacterales; Enterobacteriaceae. The record is from RNAcentral. RNAcentral also lists the same sequence under 2 other names.
UGUAUCUGAAGCCUGAAGAGGAUGAGAACCUCCGGGGGCAAGAGGUUCGACCCGAGCGAAGCGAGAAAAUGUUGCGUCAGCAACGGCCCGCAGGGCGAGCCAUCCUCUAUCACCGGCAG